AAAAAAUAUUGAAAUCAAUAAAAUCAAAAAUCUUUGAACAGAAGGUUUCUUUUUUUUUAUCCUUUUCAUUCUUUUUUUUGUAUUUGUUUCUGUCUUUCUCUUUUUAUUAUGUAUGUAUAUAUAUGUAUAUAAGAAUAUAUAUAAAGAACGAGAUGCAAUCUUACCUGGACUGGUGCGCCGUCAAAAGCCUCCAUCUCCUCUACUCAGAUCGGAGAGAAAAGGGGAAGGUUUUGAGCCGAAACGGCGCUCUUAGGAGGCCUUUAGUUUUAUUUUUUGAGUAUUGUUUAAAGAGGGAUAAGGUUUA
Molecule: long non-coding RNA, 304 nt
Filed under: Gossypium raimondii (Peruvian cotton)
Lineage: Eukaryota; Viridiplantae; Streptophyta; Magnoliopsida; Malvales; Malvaceae
Description: long non-coding RNA (GRAI_LNC008172)
Source: RNAcentral